UGCCAUAAAAAUUUUAUUAAUUUUUAGCAUCAAAACAUAAGAUUUCUGAUUUAUCUUCUAAGGCAAUGCGUUUAAUAAAGAGCCUUCUUUAAGAAGGACUCUUAAUUUCUCAUGCUGAUUUGAGGUGGGUGGCAAUUAUAUUUUUGUGUGGCUUUUGGUGAAUAUAGAGAAGCCCUUCUCCACUUGAAACUAGUCCAUGUUGGAUAAAGAUUCAAUCCAAAUUGACC
Molecule: long non-coding RNA, 227 nt
Filed under: Elaeis guineensis (African oil palm)
Lineage: Eukaryota; Viridiplantae; Streptophyta; Magnoliopsida; Arecales; Arecaceae
Description: long non-coding RNA (EGUI_LNC014508)
Source: RNAcentral